This 814-nucleotide ribosomal RNA is filed under the name uncultured bacterium. RNAcentral's name for it is "bacterial SSU rRNA". It matches the Rfam family "Bacterial small subunit ribosomal RNA", at positions 64 to 890 of the family's 1533-position model. The record is from RNAcentral.
GAGCGGAGAUAUAUGGAGCUUGCUUUAUAUAACUUAGCAGCGAACGGGUGAGUAACACGUAGAUAAUCUAUCCUAUACUGGGGGAUAGCCCGAUGAAAGUUGGAUUAAUACCGCAUAUAGCUAUAUAGUUGCAUGAUUAUGUAGUGAAAGAUUUAUUGGUAUAGGAGGAGUCUGCGGCACAUUAGCUAGUAGGUGAGGUAAAGGCUUACCUAGGCGACGAUGUGUAGCCGGUCUGAGAGGAUGAACGGCCACAAUGGAACUGAGACACGGUCCAUACUCCUACGGGAGGCAGCAGUGGGGAAUAUUGCACAAUGGGGGAAACCCUGAUGCAGCAACGCCGCGUGAGUGAAGAAGGUUUUCGGAUUGUAAAGCUCUGUUAGCAGGGAAGAGGAAGGACGGUACCUGCAGAGGAAGCCACGGCUAACUACGUGCCAGCAGCCGCGGUAAUACGUAGGUGGCAAGCGUUGUUCGGAAUAACUGGGCGUAAAGGAUGCGUAGGCGGUUAAACAAGUUAUAUGUUAAAUAUAUAGGCUUAACCUGUAGAAAGCAUAUAAAACUGUUUAACUAGAGUGCAGGAGAGGUAAGUGGAAUUCCUAGCGUAGCGGUGAAAUGCGUAGAGAUUAGGAAGAACACCAGUGGCGAGGGCGACUUACUGGACUGUAACUGACGCUGAGGCAUGAGAGCAUGGGGAGCAAACAGGAUUAGAUACCCUGGUAGUCCAUGCUGUAAACGAUGGGUACUAGGUGUGGGUUGUGAAUAACAAUUCGUGCCGUCGCAAACGCAAUAAGUACCCCGCCUGAGGAGUACGAUCGCA